UUCCACUUCCCUCCUGUGGCCUCCCCAUGGGCUGCCUUGCCCUCCACAUGGCAUAAGGCAGGGAGGUGUCCAAAGCAUGAAGUGAUAAAAACUCAUGUUUCACCUCUGGGAGCAGGCUCACAGCCUUGUCAGGAAGAAAGAGGAUUUACUUCAACGCAUGGAUGAAACAACAGGUAUGAUGACACCGAGCCUCCAGAAUCCCCCCACUUCCCAUGGAGUGCUAGCCAAGGAAUUACCCGGCAUCAGGAGCGCUUUGUAUCUAUGAUCACAUCUUAUCCUCACAAUGAGGCUGUCAGUUCUUUCCUGUCCUAGCACUUCAAGUCCUCCUGCCCCUUCUCAAGCGAGAGCAGCCGAGAGCAGCCUGGAUCCCCAUUCCAGGCUCCGUGACGAAGCAACCCGGGCCAUACCACAGGACCAGUUCUUGCCUGGUGACUGGUAGGCAGAGGGGCCACUUGGUGGGAUGCUGGCUAUGCGGAGCUGAGGGUCUCACAAGCAGGUGUCUCUGCAGAAAUGCAGGCCACUCACCAUCUGUUUCCCAAGGGACCCCGAGCCUUCCUUUCUCAGCAAAAUCAGACCAUGAAUGGGCUCUGGCCGGAUCAGUGACGGACUUUGAGGCCUCAUCAGAAGGGAACCAGGUGCCUGCACUCGGGAGACAGGCUGAGAACACACCUGAGCCACACAUCCUGGUAAUUCCUUCCUCCUUGGCCUCGGGACACGGGAAGACAUGCACACAUUGACUGCUGGCUGUGGACACGGUGGCCUGACUCAUGGACUUACUGGUAACUCUUGACUCCCAUUUCUAGUUUUGUGUCCGUUGGCAAGUUGACUCAAGUUUAAGCCUGUUUUUCAUCUGUAAAAUGGCACUAAGUGUACCUAUUCCUUGGGCCAUUGUGUUCCAUAAGAGCAGGCACUCCAGGUUGCUGGGACCUCCCGUGCAAGGCUCAGACCACGGGGCAGGCUUGUGUUCUCUGUGGGAACGGUCAGUGGGCAGGUUGGUAGGAGUGUGGGGUCAACUCUGGUCUAGAGCUGGGAGAGCUCAGCCUUUGCUCUGCCCAGGGAUGGAGCUGAAGGCAGGGCCCGUGGGGAAGGAUGGAGGUUUUCCCAGACCAGGCUGGGCUGCAGACAGCAAGGCCACGGACAGAGCCUGGGAGUACUGGGGGCAGGGCUACGUGUCCCACUGCCCUCAGCGUCUGGCAGAGCUCAACAUCAACAUGGCCCUUGGCAAAUAACCUAAUGCCUGGGGGAUCUGCGAGCCAGGCCCACUCCAAAGCCAAGGGCCCCCAGCGCGAGGCCUGUGCCCGCCCCCCUCCAGACCCACCUCCUUGCCGAGUGGGCCCAGGUGUGUCAUGCGGUACAAGUUAUCUGAAGCUCAUCAUCCAAACAUCAAGGCUAAAUACAGCAGCCAGCUGUGACCACAGAGAGUUUUGUGAUGAUGUUUGAACUUGAAACUAUUUCCAGUAAUGAGAAAAUCAUGCCUUGGGAUCCAGUCUCCAGCGCUGGGCAGCCAUUUCUGCUGCUUUCCAGUCCAGAGACAGAGUGCAGGCAAGUCAGCUGGAAGCAUGAAGUUGGGCUGGGCCUUGCCAAGGGCCCAGCACCUCUGCCAAUUCCAAGGGAACAAAGGAAUGAGGGGGUGGUCCCCUGCAGACAGGUGGUUUACAACGGUGGGAAGUGGCUGGUCCUGCCAGCUUGCAUCAAGCACCAAGGCCAAAAUGAUGCUACCUCUGGGGCUGCAGCUCGUCUCCUGAAGACCAAAAAGUCAACACUUGCUACGGCUUUAUGGCCAUUCACCAUGGGUUGCCUGCUCCAUCCUUGCCUUUGUGGAAACCUGUACUUGCCGUCUUUCAUCAAGGAUUUUUCCUAGAGGAUCUAGACUGGUCCUCUUACGGGAAGGACAAUUUUAGACAAAAUUGCAGAGCAUGAAUUCAAUAGACCCUUUCAGGAUUUAUCUAGAUCUUCUCAUAGCCUAGGAGGUGGCCUUCAUCCCUUUGCUGCCUCUGGGUGAGUCUACCCCCAAUGUUUUACUGAAAUGAGAGGAACAACCCUCACCAGGUCCUCAGGCACUGCCAAGGGCAUGCUCUUUACCAAGGGUCAUCACUGCCUUAUAGAACUUGACACUGUAAGCUUUCAAUGAGCAACCUUGAGACUAUGCAUGAAGUUGAUGUUACAAAAUGCCCGUCAACUAUCGACUCUUGCAUCUGAGAAGGAAAUCCGGCAGGAAACACCUUUACAAAUAGGUGUUGUAUCAUAGCUUGCUUGACACUUCCUCAAAAUAAAACCACAAGGUAUGUGGUUGGGGGUGAGGCAGGUCAGGAGGGAGAGGUAAGGCGACACACACACCACUGUUGACCAGAAUAGGGAAGCUGGGAAAACUGAGCUAAACAAACCCAGUUAGAGGAGUGAGGCAGACCCUCGGAACCAGACGAGAUAGGCUAGGUUGUUUUUUGUCAACAGGCCACCAGGUACCUAGGGACCCAUGAUUUCUGCAAUUUGCUUUGUCUGUUCUUUGAGCCAAGGUUGGUAGCCAUGAGGUGAAAUACAGAAAGCUAAUGACCUUCUAUCACAUAUUGGAGUAAGACCGAAUCCUAACUGUGCAGGCUGAGGAAAGCAACUCUUUUGGGGGUCUAAACAGGAUGGGAGCCCGUCUGUACUCCUCACACCACUCACAGGGAGAGCUGGUAACUAACGUGGGCUACAGGUCAUCUGAAUUCCUAAAACCCUGCCUCCUUUUCCUCCCCCACCACAAGGAAACAGGCAUCCCUGGGAGAACAUACCUUCCAAACACAUACCAGUGCAGAAACUGGGCUCCCACUGAGGAAGAUGAGUACUGGGCAGUACAGCAGAGAUGCCCACUAGUGGGGAAGCGAAGCAAGUCCCUUGAAUUUUAGAUCAGGGCUAGGGUGUUAAGUGGAAAGGCCCGUCCCUCAAUCUUCCUCCGACAGACCUUUUGGUCUUGGGGGGUGAAACAAAGCAGAAACGGAGGCAGGAUGCGCAGAAUAACCAACCUACUUCCAAAGGGAACUGGCCACCUGCUGCACGUCACAGCAUUGUGGGAGGGCUGCGGGCUGCAGACCUGGCAAGUCCUGGCCCCGUCUCCGAGUAAGAAAGACCAGGGCAACUACUUGAUUCUGACCUGACUUCAUCUCUGAAGUCCCAAAGCAACCUUGGCCAGCAGUGGGUGCAGUCAGGACACCUCAUCUCACUUCGGGUACCAUGGGUGACUUAGACCCCUGAAGGUAAAGGUGUCUUAUGAUAGGCUAACUGCUGAGAAGGGUGAGCUUGUAUGCACUGAGGAGAAUUCAAGUCUAGGUGGGCAGACUGGCUCCCAGCCUCCCAGCCGCUCUGUGCCCCCAUGUAAGGGCAGAGGCCGCUCCACAAAGCUUUGCUUUCCCGCUGCUGCAGGUCCGGAGCUUGGGAUGGGGGAGUAUUGGCAUUUAGCCCAACUCCACUGACAGGAUUUAAUUUGUACCAUGUACCCAUUUCUUUGGUUUUAUGGUCAGAUGAAAAUUUACUCAAGAGAACAGCUGUCUAGAUGCUUGGAUUUUGUCAUCAAGUCUAUGUUCCUAGUCACUCUACUAUAUUCCCUGGCAAAAUAAUGUUUAUUCUUGAACUAUUAUGGACUCAGGAUCUUGUUUCAGAAACACUAAGCACACUGAAAUUUCUUGAUUUUGUCUGGUUCUUACUGAUCUUAUAAAGCUCUUGGUGGACGAGUUUAAUACCCACUGCCAACGGAGUCAGGCCAUUUAUCAAUUGUCUCAUUUAUGGAUGCACUAGCCUAUUCAUUAAUACAGGCAGCUGGAGGCUUCUUCUUACAGACUUCCUGGGCUCUGCGUUGGCAGGCCAGGGUGGCAUUGCCAUCCAUCUUUCAACAAGCCCAGGGCCUGAAACCAGGGCUAAUUUUGCCAUUGCAGGUAGAAAGGCAAUUUGUAAGGUAGUCACCUUGCCAGAAAUCAAUGCUGUUCUAAGGGAAGCUUUCCUGAGAGGCAUCCGACUGCAGGAGGCAGAGACUGAGACAUACUGAGAUUCAGGAGACAGUGAGUCAGUCAGCAGGAACGGUUUAUUCCACCGCUUUAUUCCUCACGCUUCCAGUGGAAGACAAGCCGGAGCCACAGCACCCACUGCCUGAGGUUCAACAUUUCUGGAAGAAGUGGAGCCUGUUUUGUUUAGAUGAGACGGAAUGGGGCAAGAGCGCAUUCCUUAAACCUUUCAGAAGCUAUCAUGAGGCUGUAGGGAGUACUGACCGGGGGGCUUGUCCAGAGUGCAAACUCCGGUCUACUUGGCAGGGGCGAGAACAUUUUUUAAAAAAUGCUUUCUAACAGUAUGUAUAAAAACAAAACAUGUGCAUACAUAUAUACAGAAUUUUUAUACUGGAUAUACCUAUGCUGGAUAGGACAACAAACCUCCUUGGUAAGUCCGUGGUACCACAAAAUGUUUGUUAAAAAGAGACUUAUGCAUAGGAGCUUAACUCCCUUUAUAAGCAGCCUUCGCAUGGCACGAUUCUCCAUGUUGGGAUGUACGUGUGGGUGAGGACAGCGUGGUUUUGUACAUUUUCUGAGAACACUGUAAUGGGACCAUGAGAUUCUACUGUAGGAGCCGUCUCCUCCUAAUGUCUGUUGGUAGAGUAAUAACAACUUAGUUUUCCUGAGCACAGAUUUGUAGGGCACAGGAGAGGCAGAGGGCUAUGCUGAGAACAGAAAGUAACUGGAGUCAGUGUGAUUUUUAUGUGGGAGGAGCUAAUGUAUGUGCUCUGUCUGGGGAGGGAUUCUGACCUCAAAAUCGUACCUCAGCUGCAUACAGCUGGCAUGUUACAGAUGAAAGGUUGGGGCUCCAGCCCCAGCCCCCACGUUUAAGGGCAGAUGCACAGUGGUCUCAGAAGCAUCGUGGC
Molecule: long non-coding RNA, 4882 nt
Organism: Rhinolophus ferrumequinum (greater horseshoe bat)
Lineage: Eukaryota; Metazoa; Chordata; Mammalia; Chiroptera; Rhinolophidae
Exons: 3
Source: RefSeq, a predicted model, not a curated record